AACGCUGGCGGCGUGCCUAACACAUGCAAGUCGAACGAAGCGUCCCGCCCGAAGAUGAGGAGUGCUUGCACAAAUCUGACUCAAUUGGGAUGACUUAGUGGCGGACGGGUGAGUAACGCGUGGGUAACCUGCCUUAUACAGGGGGAUAACAGUUAGAAAUGACUGCUAAUACCGCAUAAGCGCACAGUAUCGCAUGAUACAGUGUGAAAAGCCGAGACGGUAUAAGAUGGACCCGCGUCUGAUUAGCUAGUUGGCAGGGUAACGGCCUACCAAAGCAACGAUCAGUAGCCGGCCUGAGAGGGUGAACGGCCACAUUGGGACUGAGACACGGCCCAAACUCCUACGGGAGGCAGCAGUGGGGGAUAUUGCACAAUGGGGGAAACCCUGAUGCCAGCGACGCCGCGUGAGUGAUGAAGUAUUUCGGUAUGUAAAACUCUAUCAGCAGGGAAGAAAAUGACGGUACCUGACUAAGAAGCUCCGGCUAAAUACGUGCCAGCAGCGGC
Molecule: ribosomal RNA, 503 nt
Filed under: uncultured bacterium
Lineage: Bacteria
Description: bacterial SSU rRNA
Rfam family: Bacterial small subunit ribosomal RNA
Source: RNAcentral